UACGGAGGGUGCGAGCGUUAAUCGGAAUUACUGGGCGUAAAGAGUGCGUAGGUGGUUGAUUAAGUUAUCUGUGAAAUUCCUGGGCUUAACCUGGGCUUGUCAGAUAAGACUGAUUGACUCGAGUAUGGGAGAGGGUAGUGGAAUUUCCGGUGUAGCGGUGAAAUGCGUAGAGAUCGGAAGGAACACCAGUGGCGAAGGCGGCUACCUGGCCUGAUACUGACACUGAGGCACGAAAGCGUGGGGAGCAAACAGGAUUAGAAACCCCAGUAGU
Molecule: ribosomal RNA, 271 nt
Filed under: uncultured bacterium
Lineage: Bacteria
Description: partial 16S ribosomal RNA
Rfam family: Bacterial small subunit ribosomal RNA
Source: RNAcentral